GUAUUUUCGAUUGCUUAAAUAAAAUCGUGGACACUUUUCUUCUUUCCCAUUCACCUUGGGCAUAUUGUUGAUGACACAGGUAUUUCCCAUUUCAGGAAUGACCAUACCUGAAGAAGACGCUGAUGUGGGACAAGGCAGUAAAUAUUGCCUCGUGGCAAUUGGGAGACUCCAGGUGACCAGCUCUCCUGUAUGCAUGGACAUGAAUGGGAUGUCAGUGCCCACAGAGUUCUUAUCCCGGCAUAACUCCGAUGGAAUCAUCACGUUUGUGGAUCCAAGAUGUAUCAGUGUGAUUGGCUACCAACCCCAGGAUCUUCUGGGAAAGGACAUUUUGGAGUUCUGCCACCCUGAGGAUCAAAGCCAUCUGCGUGAGAGCUUCCAGCAGGUGGUUAAGCUGAAAGGCCAAGUCCUGUCGGUCAUGUAUCGAUUUCGCACCAAGAACCGGGAGUGGAUGUUGAUCCGCACCAGCAGCUUCACAUUCCAGAAUCCCUAUUCUGAUGAGAUUGAGUACAUCAUCUGCACCAACACCAAUGUCAAGCAACUUCAGCAACAGCAGGCAGAAUUGGAAGUACAC
Molecule: small RNA, 571 nt
Filed under: Pongo abelii (Sumatran orangutan)
Lineage: Eukaryota; Metazoa; Chordata; Mammalia; Primates; Hominidae
Description: retained intron
Source: RNAcentral